CAACGAUGAAGAGUUUGAUCCUGGCUCAGGAUGAACGCUAGCGGCAGGCCUAACACAUGCAAGUCGAGGGGCAGCGGGGAAAAGCUUGCUUUUCCGCCGGCGACCGGCGCACGGGUGCGCAACGCGUAUACAAUCUGCCCCCUACUGCGGGAUAGCCCAGAGAAAUUUGGAUUAAGACCGCAUGGUACCGUAUUGCCGCAUGGUAUUUACGGUUAAAGGUUACGGUAGGGGAUGGGUAUGCGUCCCAUUAGCUGGAUGGCGGGGUAACGGCCCACCAUGGCGACGAUGGGUAGGGGCCCUGAGAGGGGGAUCCCCCACACUGGUACUGAGACACGGACCAGACUCCUACGGGAGGCAGCAGUGAGGAAUAUUGGA
Molecule: ribosomal RNA, 375 nt
Filed under: Pseudozobellia sp.
Lineage: Bacteria; Pseudomonadati; Bacteroidota; Flavobacteriia; Flavobacteriales; Flavobacteriaceae
Description: bacterial SSU rRNA
Rfam family: Bacterial small subunit ribosomal RNA
Source: RNAcentral